This 303-nucleotide ribosomal RNA is filed under the name uncultured bacterium. Its description in RNAcentral is "partial 16S ribosomal RNA". It matches the Rfam family "Bacterial small subunit ribosomal RNA", at positions 507 to 807 of the family's 1533-position model. The record is from RNAcentral.
AGCAGUAGCCACGGGAAUACAGAGGGUGCGAGCGUUAAUCGGAUUUACUGGGCGUAAAGCGUGCGUAGGCGGCUUCUUAAGUCGGAUGUGAAAUCACUGAGCUUAACUUAGGAAUUGCAUUCGAUACUGGGAAGCUAGAGUAUGGGAGAGGAUGGUAGAAUUCCAGGUGUAGCGGUGAAAUGCGUAGAGAUCUGGAGGAAUACCGAUGGCGAAGGCAGCCAUCUGGCCUAAUACUGACGCUGAGGUACGAAAGCAUGGGGAGCAAACAGGAUUAGAUACCCCAGUAGUCCCUGUCUCUUAUAC